GUUAUAUUCCUAUAAAAUCCUUCUUAAUUAAAAAGUGUGAUCAACAUAGCUAACAGCUAUAAAAGGGACAUCUGUGCCCUAUGCAUUUCAUCUCUAUGCCUGAGAGCUCUCCAAACCUCCCUCCUUCUUAGAUCAAUGGCAAAAAAGUAUAACUUAUUAUCUCUAUUGUACUUAUGAUAAACAAAAUUGUGGGGCUGGGCUGAUACGAGUGCUGGUGCAAGGUGGGGAAAUAAGAGCAGGGGCCUUAAUAAAACCAUCUUAAGAAAGAGGAGUAACUGAUUAUGGAUAUACUAGACAUUUUGGAUAGAUGUAAACCACUGCUUUUUUUUUUUAAAUGUAAAACCUGGUUUUAAAAGAGUUAAUGUAUAAACUGUGAAAUGUUUUAGCAAUAUGAAAUCUGGUUUUGACUCCAUGGCUCAGUCUCGGCACUACCCCUGUCUGUGGUGCAAUAAACUCAGUUGAGCUGCAUGUAAUCUAUUUACAAAAACAGCAGCUUUGCAGUCCUUGAUUUGUGUGUCCUUUUAAUUUCUCCAUCCCUGUUGAGUCUCCCUCUGAUGCACCAUGCCAUGAAGAUGAUUAACCUCCAGCACUUUAUCAGCCCAAGAUCCACGGCUGUGGCAGUGCAAGGAACUAUCCUGGUGUAACUGUAGUGCAAGCCAGGCCUGAAGACCAGGUGCUGGGUCUCUGCCCGCUAAGUGCAAAGCCGUUUCUUCCUCACAAAAGCUAGCAAUUUGCUUAAAUCCUGAGAAUAAACCUUAAAUGCUCAGUAAGAUAAGAUUGAUAAGAGGCAACCCCAGCCUCUUAUCAAAUAGAUGGCUAAACUGACCCCCAGGUGGGCUUGGGAGGCAGGGUUCUCCAGACAGUUCUGGAACUUUCUCCUGAGCGCCCCUCGCACCCUCAGGAGCAGCUGCUGGAGGAACCCACAGGUGCAGUGCAGUGCAGUGAUCCCGGCAGGCACUCACAGACACCUGAACCCAGGUGCAGCUGUUCUGGGCACCAGAACCUGGUGUUGCCCUUCCUUGGGAAGGAUGAAUGAUGUGGUUAUUGGGAGGAUAAGAAACAUAAGAAAGACAAAGACCAUUGGGAAACACCCACACAUAGACAGUGGACAAAGAAAGAAAGAAUCGUAAUGAGAAAGAGAAUGGAUGGAAGAUUAAUGUGCUUCUGAGCUGAGAGGAAAAAGAGUUUAAUGGAUUUCUCUACAUUUGUGUGAGUUCCCUAACAUUUUCCAAUUUGUGGCACACACAGAUGUCAGCCAUAUCAGGAGUUACUAUCUACCACUCUGACAGGACUCUGAGGUUGAUCUGCAAUCUCCGUAAAUUUUCCCACUGUCUUCCAAAAACUUUGGAGUCUGACUUUAUCGGGACCUUUAACUUGUUUUCCUGCUCUAGCCAGGAUUUCAGAGUCUAACAUUAAGAAUUAUUUCUGUAUUCAGAUCAGCAGGCAUAUUAAUGUCCUUAUCUUUUGUUGUUAUGGAUAAAGAUAAAAUAACAACAUUCUUAAUUGGGGUGAUGCUCAUCGUUAGAUUGCAGUGUCAUAGUAACUUCAUAUGAACAAGAACAAAAAAUUCAUUUGAUGGUCUCCACUGACUACUAAUAAACUUUGCAAAGUGAUUUGAAU
Molecule: long non-coding RNA, 1620 nt
Organism: Phasianus colchicus (ring-necked pheasant)
Lineage: Eukaryota; Metazoa; Chordata; Aves; Galliformes; Phasianidae
Source: Ensembl